Molecule: transfer RNA, 83 nt
Filed under: Solirubrobacterales bacterium
Lineage: Bacteria; Bacillati; Actinomycetota; Thermoleophilia; Solirubrobacterales
Also listed under: 1 other name
Description: tRNA-Leu
Rfam family: tRNA
About the family: Transfer RNA (tRNA) molecules are approximately 80 nucleotides in length. Their secondary structure includes four short double-helical elements and three loops (D, anti-codon, and T loops).
Source: RNAcentral
GCCCGGGUGGCGGAAUCGGUAGACGCGCGGCACUCAAAAUGCCGUGUCCUUUGGGCGUGAGAGUUCGAGUCUCUCCCCGGGCA